RNAcentral lists this ribosomal RNA (590 nucleotides) under Microchaete tenera AUS-JR/SD/MS/NT-048. RNAcentral's name for it is "bacterial SSU rRNA". It matches the Rfam family "Bacterial small subunit ribosomal RNA", at positions 156 to 775 of the family's 1533-position model. Lineage: Bacteria; Bacillati; Cyanobacteriota; Cyanophyceae; Nostocales; Rivulariaceae. The record is from RNAcentral.
ACGGUGGCUAAUACCGGAUGUGCCGGAAGGUGAAAGGCUUGCUGCCUGAAGAUGAGCUCGCGUCCGAUUAGCUAGUAGGUGGGGUAAGAGCCUACCUAGGCGACGAUCGGUAGCUGGUCUGAGAGGAUGACCAGCCACACUGGGACUGAAACACGGCCCAAACUCCUACGGGAGGCAGCAGUGGGGAAUUUUCCGCAAUGGGCGAAAGCCUGACGGAGCAAUACCGCGUGAGGGAGGAAGGCUCUUGGGUUGUAAACCUCUUUUCUCAGGGAAAAACACAAUGACGGUACCUGAGGAAUCAGCAUCGGCUAACUCCGUGCCAGCAGCCGCGGUAAUACGGAGGAUGCAAGCGUUAUCCGGAAUGAUUGGGCGUAAAGCGUCCGCAGGUGGCUGUGUAAGUCUGCUGUCAAAAAGCAAAGCUCAACUUUGUAAAGGCAGUGGAAACUACACGGCUAGAGUGCGUUCGGGGCAAAGGGAAUUCCUGGUGUAGCGGUGAAAUGCGUAAAGAUCAGGAAAAAACACCGGUGGCGAAGGCGCUCUGCUAGGCCGCAACUGACACUGAGGGACAAAAAGCUAGGGGGAGCGAAAGG